Molecule: ribosomal RNA, 431 nt
Filed under: Micrococcus sp. oral taxon F54
Lineage: Bacteria; Bacillati; Actinomycetota; Actinomycetes; Micrococcales; Micrococcaceae
Description: bacterial SSU rRNA
Rfam family: Bacterial small subunit ribosomal RNA
Source: RNAcentral
GAUGAACGCUGGCGGCGUGCUUAACACAUGCAAGUCGAACGAUAAAGCCCAGCUUGCUGGGUGGAUUAGUGGCGAACGGGUGAGUAACACGUGAGUAACCUGCCCUUGACUCUGGGAUAAGCCCGGGAAACUGGGUCUAAUACCGGAUAGGAGCGCCUGUCGCAUGACGGGUGUUGGAAAGAUUUUUCGGUCAUGGAUGGACUCGCGGCCUAUCAGCUUGUUGGUGAGGUAAUGGCUCACCAAGGCGACGACGGGUAGCCGGCCUGAGAGGGUGACCGGCCACACUGGGACUGAGACACGGCCCAGACUCCUACGGGAGGCAGCAGUGGGGAAUAUUGCACAAUGGGCGGAAGCCUGAUGCAGCGACGCCGCGUGAGGGAUGACGGCCUUCGGGUUGUAAACCUCUUUCAGUAGGGAAGAAGCGAAAGUGA